UUUACUGAAAUACCAUGAAUUUCGAUCUCCCAUUCCAAACGUAAAUUCCAAACAAGAAAGUAUUUGAGUUCAAUCUCAUAAGAAGGAAUAGGAGGAAAGAAACCGCAAUCGAAAAUGAAAAUAUUUAGGUCACUAACGUGGAGCAAUUAAAUCCUGUCUAUAAAACAAAAUACUUUAUUAUAAAACCAAAAUGCAUUUUAAGUUAAGGAAGCUGACUCGUCCACUGGAAGCAGCAACACUAGAAGCCCGCAA
Long non-coding RNA from Dendroctonus ponderosae (mountain pine beetle), 252 nucleotides. RefSeq lists it as uncharacterized. The record is from RefSeq and is a predicted model, not a curated record. The transcript has 2 exons. NCBI's taxonomy places the organism in Eukaryota, Metazoa, Arthropoda, Insecta, Coleoptera, Curculionidae.